GCUUUUUGAGUAGGUAGAUAGUAUCCUUGGUAAGGAUGAGGUCCCCAGUUCGAAUCUGGGUAGCAGCUCCA
Molecule: transfer RNA, 71 nt
Filed under: Caudoviricetes sp.
Lineage: Duplodnaviria; Heunggongvirae; Uroviricota; Caudoviricetes
Description: tRNA-Thr
Source: RNAcentral